UGAGGAAUAUUGGUCAAUGGACGAGAGUCUGAACCAGCCAAGUAGCGUGCAGGAUGACGGCCCUAUGGGUUGUAAACUGCUUCUGUUUGGGAAUAAUCGACAUUACGUGUAAUGUUUUGCAUGUACCAUUCGAAUAAGGACCGGCUAAUUCCGUGCCAGCAGCCGCGGUAAUACGGAAGGUCCAGGCGUUAUCCGGAUUUAUUGGGUUUAAAGGGAGCGUAGGCUGGAGAUUAAGUGUGUUGUGAAAUGUAGACGCUCAACGUCUGAAUUGCAGCGCAUACUGGUUUCCUUGAGUACGCACAACGUUGGCGGAAUUCGUCGUGUAGCGGUGAAAUGCUUAGAUAUGACGAAGAACUCCGAUUGCGAAGGCAGCUGACGGGAGCGCAACUGACGCUUAAGCUCGAAGGUGCGGGUAUCAAACAGG
Molecule: ribosomal RNA, 424 nt
Filed under: Verrucomicrobiota bacterium
Lineage: Bacteria; Pseudomonadati; Verrucomicrobiota
Description: Verrucomicrobia bacterium partial 16S ribosomal RNA
Rfam family: Bacterial small subunit ribosomal RNA
Source: RNAcentral